RNAcentral lists this ribosomal RNA (390 nucleotides) under uncultured bacterium. RNAcentral's name for it is "bacterial SSU rRNA". It matches the Rfam family "Bacterial small subunit ribosomal RNA", at positions 28 to 418 of the family's 1533-position model. The record is from RNAcentral.
GACGAACGCUGGCGGCGUGCCUAACACAUGCAAGUCGAACGGAGUAAGAGGCUUCGGCCUUUUACUUAGUGGCGAACGGGUGAGUAACGCGUGAGGAACCUGCCUCUCAGUGGGGGACAACAGUUGGAAACGACUGCUAAUACCGCAUAAUGUUUCUGGACCGCAUGAUCUGGAAACCAAAGCUUUAUGUGCUGAGAGAUGGUCUCGCGUCUGAUUAGCUAGAUGGCGGGUAACGGCCACCAUGGCGACGAUCAGUAGCCGGUCUGAGAGGUUGAACGGCCACAUUGGGACUGAGACACGGCCCAGACUCCUACGGGAGGCAGCAGUGGGGGAUAUUGCACAAUGGAGGAAACUCUGAUGCAGCAACGCCGCGUGAGGGAAGAAGGUUUU